This 251-nucleotide long non-coding RNA is filed under the name Elaeis guineensis (African oil palm). Its description in RNAcentral is "long non-coding RNA (EGUI_LNC079368)". Lineage: Eukaryota; Viridiplantae; Streptophyta; Magnoliopsida; Arecales; Arecaceae. The record is from RNAcentral.
UGGUGGCCCAUAUUAGCUGGAUUGUGGGUGACAGUCGAAUGAUUGACGUGAUCCUGACCAGUGCAUGGCUGACAUUUCACUUUCCCGAUGGCCGACCUUCAUCAGCUCUGAGGUGGGUGAGACCCUCAUGGUCAGUGAUCUGCUUCAAACUGGGAGGAGAAGCUAGGAUGAGCAGUUGGUGACUUGAUUCUUUGGUGGGCAGCUGACCGAGAGGAUUAUGGCUCAGGCGAUACCAUUGGUUGACGGGUCGG